CACCACCAUCAUUUCCCUGAAUAAUCUUUCGGGCGCAUGGUGUUGUUCGGAAGAUAGCUUCCGAGAAAGUGCAGGUAAUCAAACAUUAAUCUCUCGGAAGACCACUUUCGAGAGAUUUUUU
RNAcentral lists this small RNA (121 nucleotides) under pig gut metagenome. RNAcentral describes it as "Histidine operon leader". It matches the Rfam family "Histidine operon leader". From Rfam's summary of the family: At least 6 amino acid operons are known to be regulated by attenuation. In each a leader sequence of 150-200 bp is found upstream of the first gene in the operon. The record is from RNAcentral.